GCUGACAUAUCCCGGCCAAUCUCCAGCAGACCCUCCCUCCCAGACCCUUCCACCUCCUGGACAGCAUCCAUGUUGAAGCUGCCUUCACAACAUGGAUGCUGUCCAGGAGGUGGGAGGGUCUGGAAGGGAGGGUCUGCUGGAGAUUGGCCGGGAUAUGUCAG
This is a non-coding RNA of Pelobates cultripes (western spadefoot toad), 161 nucleotides long. NCBI's taxonomy places the organism in Eukaryota, Metazoa, Chordata, Amphibia, Anura, Pelobatidae. The record is from the annotation of a GenBank genome assembly.